Molecule: ribosomal RNA, 153 nt
Filed under: Staphylococcus aureus
Lineage: Bacteria; Bacillati; Bacillota; Bacilli; Caryophanales; Staphylococcaceae
Description: partial 16S ribosomal RNA
Rfam family: Bacterial small subunit ribosomal RNA
Source: RNAcentral
UUUAUGGAGAGUUUGAUCCUGGCUCAGGAUGAACGCUGGCGGCGUGCCUAAUACAUGCAAGUCGAGCGAACGGACGAGAAGCUUGCUUCUCUGAUGUUAGCGGCGGACGGGUGAGUAACACGUGGAUAACCUACCUAUAAGACUGGGAUAACU